This 301-nucleotide ribosomal RNA is filed under the name uncultured bacterium. RNAcentral describes it as "partial 16S ribosomal RNA". It matches the Rfam family "Bacterial small subunit ribosomal RNA", at positions 509 to 807 of the family's 1533-position model. The record is from RNAcentral.
CAGCCGCCGCGGGAAUACGUAGGGUGCGAGCGUUAACCGGAAUUACUGGGCGUAAAGCGUGCGCAGGCGGUUUUGUAAGACAGGCGUGAAAUCCCCGGGCUCAACCUGGGAAUGGCGCUUGUGACUGCAAAGCUAGAGUGCGGCAGAGGGGGAUGGAAUUCCGCGUGUAGCAGUGAAAUGCGUAGAUAUGCGGAGGAACACCGAUAGCGAAGGCAAUCCCCUGGGCCUGCACUGACGCUCAUGCACGAAAGCGUGGGGAGCAAACAGGAUUAGAUACCCCCGUAGUCCCUGUCUCUUAUAC